CCAAUCAUUCAUACUAUCAUCUAUAUGGUCAGAUUCUAUUUCCGAAUGCUAAUGAAGUCGAUAAUCACGGGUAUCAGUAAAGAAACCAGCCAUAUCAGAUAAGUUAUAUAUCCGAAAUCCCAAACUACAUAUAACAUAAUUGACAUAAAUAGACACAGAUAUAGGCAAAAAUGGAAAAAUCAUGGCAUCAAAAGACUUUGCCAUAAAAUUCCAGCAUUGAACCCUAAACCCAAAAUAAGAAUAAAUAUAUAUUUGCAUAUCACUCGAUAAUGGUAACAUAAAUCAUUAAAUUUAAAGUGUUUUUCAAGUAAAGAAGAUUCUUAUCACCUUUGUAAUGUCCUUCUUGGCAGUCAAUGAAGCAACAGUAUCUCUAACCUCUGCAUAUAUAUAUAUAUAUAACAAAUAGUUGUUGAAACUUUAAAACAUCACAGAAAAAUUUAACUAAAAGCUAAUUUCUGAGUUUGAACUUUGAACUCACUGGCAUAGAACUGG
This 492-nucleotide long non-coding RNA is filed under the name Gossypium barbadense (sea-island cotton). RNAcentral's name for it is "long non-coding RNA (GBAR_LNC002757)". Lineage: Eukaryota; Viridiplantae; Streptophyta; Magnoliopsida; Malvales; Malvaceae. The record is from RNAcentral.